RNAcentral lists this ribosomal RNA (229 nucleotides) under uncultured bacterium. Its description in RNAcentral is "partial 16S ribosomal RNA". It matches the Rfam family "Bacterial small subunit ribosomal RNA", at positions 568 to 796 of the family's 1533-position model. The record is from RNAcentral.
UGCGUAGGCGGUUAAAUAAGUCAGAGGUGAAAGCCCGCAGCUCAACUGUGGAAUUGCCUUUGAUACUGUAUAACUUGAAUCAGGUUGAGGUUGGCGGAAUGUGACAUGUAGCGGUGAAAUGCAUAGAUAUGUCAUAGAACACCAAUUGCGGAGGCAGCUAACUAGACCUGUAUUGACGCUGAGGCACGAAAGCGUGGGGAGCGAACAGGAUUAGAUACCCUGGUAGUCC